AAACACACUUGAAAAUCAAGAUUGCAGGGAGAUGGAAAGAAUUUGAGAAGAAGAGAGAUGUAGAGAGAUGAUUAAAAACAUAAAAAUGAGGCUAUAUUUAUAAAAAAUAAAUUCAUAAUCCAGUGUUUUGCAGUCCAUCAUAAGUUUCAUGCAUGUGCUCCUUACAACCAUUAGAUCAAGAUCCAACGGCUGGUUAAACUUCAAAAGUCAACAUCACAUGUGGCAUCGUUUGACUCGUCUGAUUUGGCCAAAGAACGAUUGAGAUUUGGCGGGUUAAUGGGUGGAUCGGGUCGACCCGAAUACAAAGAUUCGGAUUUUACAACUUGCUUCACCAACCAUUGUCACGUGGCACAAUUAUGGCCAUUGAAUCAUGAACGGUUGAGAUUUAGUCAAAAUUGUCAGCCAUUCCAUGUACUCAUUUCUAUUGUAAGCUCAUUUUAUCAUCCAAUCAGUGCUCAGUCAACAGGAAAAGUCAACUAUUUUUACACAAGCCCAAUUUUAAGCUGAUCUUGGCUGAUCUUAAGGUUUUCGGUAGGGAUGGCAAAAUCCUCCACAGGUUUGGGGCCUCAUGGAGCCCUACCUCAAAUGGGAAAAUUUUUUAAUAAUUUUUGGGGAAUGGGGUGGAGAGUGGGGGAAAAAUAAUUCCCAAAUUGUUAACAGGGUGGGGUUUGGUAUUGCACUCCCCACCCCACCCCCACCCCAAUUCACAUUAUAUAUAAAUAUGUUUUUAA
This 731-nucleotide long non-coding RNA is filed under the name Citrus x clementina. RNAcentral's name for it is "Citrus clementina (C. clementina) long non-coding RNA (CCLE_LNC002521)". The record is from RNAcentral. Lineage: Eukaryota; Viridiplantae; Streptophyta; Magnoliopsida; Sapindales; Rutaceae.